This is a long non-coding RNA of Solanum stenotomum, 504 nucleotides long. RefSeq lists it as uncharacterized. NCBI's taxonomy places the organism in Eukaryota, Viridiplantae, Streptophyta, Magnoliopsida, Solanales, Solanaceae. The transcript has 3 exons. The record is from RefSeq and is a predicted model, not a curated record.
UUGGAGAUCUCUCGUAAAGUAUUUACAUUUUUUGUAAAGCAGGAUUUAUAUUACCAGGCUGAUUCUUCUUAUAGACUCUUGGUUAAUGCCUUAAAGAAUAGACUAUAUUUUGAGCUAUAGAUGCUCUUGGGCUGUAGUAUAGGAAUGACACCUAUUCUUUAAUGUUGUGUAGGAGGAGGAUAUUGAACCAUGGAAGUGUGCCUGAAGUGAUAAUACUGCAAAAGGAAUCCAUGAGAUGUGGUUGGUUAGCUAAAUGCUGAGUGAUACUGUAAUCCUUUGCUUGUGUGAUUUGUGAAAUGGUGUUGAAAAAGAUCUCAUGAACCCUGGGGCUCGGCAGACUGUUGUUGCUGCUCCCACAACUGGAGCUAUGAGCAAGAUGGAGCAUUUGUCUGGAAGAUGAUGUUGUUAUGCUCCCCAUGAAAGCUGGUAUGUGGAGGUAGUAGCUUAUCCAAUCUGGAAGUGUACCAGAUACAGAACACAUGGUGUCCUGUUAGGCCAUUCUUC